Molecule: ribosomal RNA, 118 nt
Filed under: Citrobacter freundii
Lineage: Bacteria; Pseudomonadati; Pseudomonadota; Gammaproteobacteria; Enterobacterales; Enterobacteriaceae
Also listed under: 3 other names
Description: partial 23S ribosomal RNA
Rfam family: Bacterial large subunit ribosomal RNA
Source: RNAcentral
GGUUAAGCGACUAAGCGUACACGGUGGAUGCCCUGGCAGUCAGAGGCGAUGAAGGACGUGCUAAUCUGCGAUAAGCGUCGGUAAGGUGAUAUGAACCGUUAUAACCGGCGAUUUCCGA